This 280-nucleotide non-coding RNA is filed under the name Anolis carolinensis (green anole). Its description in RNAcentral is "Eukaryotic small subunit ribosomal RNA". It matches the Rfam family "Eukaryotic small subunit ribosomal RNA", at positions 1194 to 1440 of the family's 1831-position model. Lineage: Eukaryota; Metazoa; Chordata; Lepidosauria; Squamata; Anolidae. The record is from Rfam by way of RNAcentral.
CUUGAUUUAGUCAACCCAGGAAACUUCAUUUGGUCUUGCCAUGGUAGAGUGGCAGGCUGAUAGCUCUUUCUUGAUUCUGUGGUUGGAGAGUCAUUGCUGUACUUAGUUGGUGGAACAGCUUGCCUGGCUAAUUUCAAUAACGAAUGAGACUCUGGCAUGUUAAUUAGUUAUGCAACCCCCAAAUGAGUUUCUUAAGCUUCAACCAACUAUCUAAUCCCUCUUGGAGAAACUGAUUUUUUGCUUCAGCUUCAAAGAGGAACAAAUCUUCUUCUGUUUUUGG